GAUGAAGAACGUAGUGAAAUGCGAUACUUGGUGUGAAUUGCAGAAUCCCGUGAACCAUCGAGUCUUUGAACGCAAGUUGCGCCCGAAGCCAUUAGGCCGAGGGCACGCCUGCCUGGGCGUCACACGUCGUUGCCCCCCCAUCUACUCCUUCGGGAUUGCGGGGGGCGGAUGAUGGCCUCCCGUGCGCCUCGUCGCGCGGUUGGCAUAAAUGCCAAGUCCUCGGCGACGCACGCCACGACAAUCGGUGGUUGCGAAACCUCGGUUGCCCGUCGUGUGCGGUCGUCGCGCAUCGAGGGCUCGAAAAAAUUGCCGGGCUCCGGCUCGGCUUUCAACGCGACCCCAGGUCAGGCGGGGUUACCCGCUGAAUUUAAGCAUGUCAAUAAGCGGAGGA
This 391-nucleotide unclassified non-coding RNA is filed under the name soil metagenome. RNAcentral describes it as "partial contains 5.8S ribosomal RNA, internal transcribed spacer 2, and large subunit ribosomal RNA". The stretch from base 1 to 122 matches the Rfam family "5.8S ribosomal RNA", at positions 35 to 154 of the family's 154-position model. The record is from RNAcentral.